RNAcentral lists this ribosomal RNA (615 nucleotides) under Lodderomyces parapsilosis. RNAcentral's name for it is "eukaryotic LSU rRNA". It matches the Rfam family "Eukaryotic large subunit ribosomal RNA", at positions 47 to 669 of the family's 3401-position model. Lineage: Eukaryota; Fungi; Ascomycota; Pichiomycetes; Serinales; Debaryomycetaceae. The record is from RNAcentral.
AUAGCGGAGGAAAGGAAACCAACAGGGAUUGCCUUAGUAGCGGCGAGUGAAGCGGCAAAAGCUCAAAUUUGAAAUCUGGCACUUUCAGUGUCCGAGUUGUAAUUUGAAGAAGGUAUCUUUGGGUCUGGCUCUUGUCUAUGUUUCUUGGAACAGAACGUCACAGAGGGUGAGAAUCCCGUGCGAUGAGAUGUCCCAGACCUAUGUAAAGUUCCUUCGAAGAGUCGAGUUGUUUGGGAAUGCAGCUCUAAGUGGGUGGUAAAUUCCAUCUAAAGCUAAAUAUUGGCGAGAGACCGAUAGCGAACAAGUACAGUGAUGGAAAGAUGAAAAGAACUUUGAAAAGAGAGUGAAAAAGUACGUGAAAUUGUUGAAAGGGAAGGGCUUGAGAUCAGACUUGGUAUUUUGUAUGUUACUCUCUCGGGGGUGGCCUCUACAGUUUACCGGGCCAGCAUCAGUUUGAGCGGUAGGAUAAGUGCAAAGAAAUGUGGCACUGCUUCCGGUAGUGUGUUAUAGUCUUUGUCGAUACCUGCCCAGCCUUAGACCUGAGGACCUGCGGCUUCGGCCCUAGGAUGUUGGCAUAAUGAUCUUAAGUCGCCCGUCUUGAACACCCCGGACCAA